This 73-nucleotide transfer RNA is filed under the name Herbidospora galbida. It matches the Rfam family "tRNA". From Rfam's summary of the family: Transfer RNA (tRNA) molecules are approximately 80 nucleotides in length. Their secondary structure includes four short double-helical elements and three loops (D, anti-codon, and T loops). Lineage: Bacteria; Bacillati; Actinomycetota; Actinomycetes; Streptosporangiales; Streptosporangiaceae. The record is from Rfam by way of RNAcentral.
GUCAUCGUAGCUCAGAUGGAAGAGCGGUCCCCUGAAAAGGGACAGGUCCGAGGUUCGAUUCCUCGCGUUGGCA